AGCCUGAACUCACAGAAAAUCUGGAUUUCUUUCUUGCUUCACCAGUCAUUCGUUAAGCAACCCUAGGAAUAUAGAUGAUACUACUACUUUUUUCCUAUUCAUCUCACCAAUAUCAUUACUCAUUUCUGUUAGAAGCAGAGUGUGAGAGUUUGCAAGAUGACAUAUAUUUUAAUUGCAGAAGGCAAAGAAAAGAAGGUUGAGAGCAAAUAGAAGUAGAUUUGUCCCACUGUGGGAAGAGGAGAGAAUUUGCACUGAUAGCUCCAGUAAGUUGGAUGAGUAACAUCUAGAGAAACUCAUUAUUGCUCAAGCAACUGGCAAAUCUGAGGAUGCAUAUGAAAGUCAAGUAAACGAAAGGAUUCCUAGAGAAAAAAAUGGAAGUGUUUUUAACCUUAAUGGUAAAAUGUUUUUGUCAGUAACUUAUAUCCAAUUGGAUUCCAACAUGUUAUUGAAUUUUCCGAAUAAAUAAAAGUUUUAUGGUUCAUUUAAAAAAAUUUAUGUUUCUUUCCAUCAUUGAAAUCUCUGUCCUGGAGUCUGUACAUUAACUUGUCACUAGUCAUUUUAUGGUCUUGAAUGUCACUAAACUAUAAUGUGAUUAAAUAUACACUAUUGCAAAACAUUUUUUAUGUUAUAAAAAUUUAUAUUGAAGUCUUGUAAUCAAAGACUUUGGUAAAUCUGUGAGAGUAAUUUUAAUUUUAUAUUUUAGAUGUAAAAUGUCUUAGUUUACAUUUUAAUUGUCAUUCAUAUUGUUGACCAUUAUUUGUUCUUGAUAAAGGUACAACUUGCUUUUCUGGGGUUUUGCAUUACCAUUAAUUCUAUGGUUUGGUGCCAUAGUUCAGGCUCCAGACUCUGGAUCCGAACUCUAUGUCACUUGACUUUGUGACCUUGGGCAAGUUACUUGACUCCUCUGUGUUUAAAUUUCCUAAUCUGCAGAAUUGAGAUACUAGUGAUAAUACAUACCUCAUAGAAUUAUUGGGGAGAUUAAGUGAACUGAUAGAUUUAAAGUGUGUAGAGCAGUGUUUGGCAUGCAGAGAUUAUUAUAAGGUUUAAUUAUUAUUACUUAACUAUUGCUGAAGUUUACUCCAACUCUGCUCAUAUUACUUGCUUAUUAUGUAUUUAAGGAUGUAUCAAAUGAUUCUGCAAGUCAGUAGGAAUAGGACACUUCAUGAAGAAGAGGAAAGGUUAGGGCUUAGAAGCCAUGCAGUGUAGAUAGGGGAGAGGAAGGAGCAGGGCUUUAGUUGUUAGACACACCUGGAUUAAACAAGAUUCUUACUAGUUAUGUAAAUUGGCAACUCACUAAAAUGAAAUCUUUUGCAAAAUGAAGACAAUACAUUUUGAAAUCUUGUAUAAAUGACAUAAUGUCUGUAAAGCACUGGGAAAUGAUGCAAUUUUUUGAAACCUCCUCUCCAUUUUUUAAAGCAGAAAAAAAAUAGUGGAUCUUACAUAUAAUUUUUAACUUUACUUUUUAAAUUAACACUACAUUACAAGCAUAUUUCCAUGUCAUUAAAUAUUUGAUUACAUAAGAAUAUUUAAAAGUUAACAGUUGUUUAUUUUAUUUAACCAGUUCCUAUUUCUGAAUAUUUAUGCUGUUUCCAAUAUUCUCUAAUAUUGGCG
RNAcentral lists this long non-coding RNA (1611 nucleotides) under Canis lupus familiaris (dog). Its description in RNAcentral is "lncRNA (ENSCAFG00845006906.1)". The record is from RNAcentral. Lineage: Eukaryota; Metazoa; Chordata; Mammalia; Carnivora; Canidae.